UCGGACGUGGUGCAGCCCAGCACGGCCUCUCCUCUUGGAAAAGGUCCCUCCAAAUGAGGUGGAGGAGGCAGACUCGGGUUCGAUUCCCGGCGUUCGAA
Non-coding RNA from Mycena filopes, 98 nucleotides. Lineage: Eukaryota; Fungi; Basidiomycota; Agaricomycetes; Agaricales; Mycenaceae. The record is from the annotation of a GenBank genome assembly.